GCUGGUGUGGCUCAAAGGCAGAGCAGCGGUAUCGUAAACCGCAGGUUGCGAGUUCAAUUCUCGCCACCAGCUCCA
RNAcentral lists this transfer RNA (75 nucleotides) under Clostridium sp. RNAcentral's name for it is "tRNA-Thr". It matches the Rfam family "tRNA". From Rfam's summary of the family: Transfer RNA (tRNA) molecules are approximately 80 nucleotides in length. Their secondary structure includes four short double-helical elements and three loops (D, anti-codon, and T loops). Lineage: Bacteria; Bacillati; Bacillota; Clostridia; Eubacteriales; Clostridiaceae. The record is from RNAcentral. RNAcentral also lists the same sequence under 2 other names.